ACGUGACAAUGGACAAUUAGCAUUUUGGAGAACUGGCAUGAGUUUAGAUUUAAAGUAAUUCAUCAAGGACUAUAAAUUUACAUUUACACCACAAAAUGAAACGUUACAAGCAAGUUACUCCAUUUACCAGUUUGGAAUACACUAAAACUUGUUCAUGUAUUGGCUUGAAAACAUUGCCUUGCAAGAUGACCGCUAAGAUAAUAAAAAGAGUUUGAUUCUCAUGGUAUAUCUCCAAAGAACAUGAUCUCCAAGACUCCAAUAAUUCUUGCUUAAUUGCUUGAGGCAACCAAGAGUUCCAUCCUCAUGGUCUAUGGUGUACCAGUCAUUUAACAAAUAACAUGGUCCCCAAACAUUCUUGAUAACUUGAUUGAAAUAUAAAAACGGGAGUUCCAUUCUCAUAUUCCAUGAACCAUUCUUGACAAGGAAUUCCAUUCUCACGUUUAACCUUUGUUCAAAAGAACUUGGCAAAAACAUGAGUUUAGUGCUCACUAUAUUCCAACCUUCACAUUGACAAAAAUGUUAAUAAGUUGACAAGAACCUUUAAACAUAUAAAAUUAAGGGAAAGAGUUCGGAUAUACAUACCUCAACACCAAUUGAAGUCUCAGAGAGAGUGGAGGCUCGGACAGCCACGAGACGUGGCUCUGUGACACACAGUCACCCCUUAUCCUGAGAAUACAAUCACUCCCUCUGAGAAAAAGUUAUCCAAGAUUUUAAGGAAAAUAAUAUAGGGUAGAAGACACAAACCUCAAGCCAGCCUAGAAAUUUUCCGGCUUAGUGUGUGUGAUGGUUAGAACAACACCUGCACGUACAUUUGCAAUAACCAAAUCAAUCAGGCAUCUUCUCAAAAGAAUAGUAACUAAUGUACCCAUGCUUUGCUAGGGAGCUGCACUAUGAGGAGUUGAGAUAUAACACUAUCAAUGCUUAUACAGAUGACUGAUAAGAUAAUUUCACUUUUUAAACUUGAUCUGGAGAGAGAGCACUAUGACUUGCUUUUAUUUCACCACCUUGUUUGCUGGGUAGUAGAGACAUCUCUUACAAAUAAACACAUUACAACAUAGUAUUCCCUCCGUCCCAAAAUACUUGUCAGAGAAAUGAAUAAAAAUGGAUGCAUCUAAAACUAAGAUAUGUCUAGAUACAUCCAUUCAUUCGACGAGUAUUUCCGGACGGAGGGAGUAUUACUUAGCUACGAGGAUGGUUAUCAGAGUCCGUAGAAGUAAGAAAAACAA
This 1226-nucleotide long non-coding RNA is filed under the name Triticum aestivum (bread wheat). RNAcentral describes it as "long non-coding RNA (TAES_LNC022853)". The stretch from base 1055 to 1179 matches the Rfam family "MIR1120/MIR1122 microRNA precursor family". Lineage: Eukaryota; Viridiplantae; Streptophyta; Magnoliopsida; Poales; Poaceae. The record is from RNAcentral.